GGAUAGAGGCCUACCAUGGUGGUAACGGGUAACGGGGUGUUAGGGCACGACACCGGAGAGGGAGCCUGAGAAACGGCUACCACAUCCAAGGAUGGCAGCAGGCGCGCAAAUUACCCAAUCCCGACACGGGGAGGUAGUGACAAUAAAUAACAAUACGGGGUUCUUUCGGAUCUCGUAAUUGGAAUGAGUACAAUUUAAAUCUCUUAACGAGGAACAAAUGGAGGGCAAGUCUGGUGCCAGCAGCCGCGGUAAUUCCAGCUCCAAUAGCGUAUAUUAAAGUUGUUGCAGUUAAAAAGCUCGUAGUUGAAUUUCGGGGUUAGUAGGUUGGUCAUGCCUCUGGUAUGUACUGGUCUCACUGAUUCCUCCUUCCUUAUGAACCGUAAUGCCAUUAAUUUGGUGUUGCGGGGAAUUUGGACUGUUACUUUGAAAAAAUUAGAGUGUUUAAAGCAAGCUAACGCUUGAAUACAUUAGCAUGGAAUAAUGAAAUAGGACGUUCGAUCUUAUUUUGUUGGUUUCUAGGAUUGACGUAAUGAUUAAUAGGGAUAGUUGGGGGCAUUAGUAUUCAAUUGUCAGAGGUGAAAUUCUUGGAUUUAUUGAAGACUAACUACUGCGAAAGCAUUUGCCAAGGAUGUUUUCAUUAAUCAAGAACGAAAGUUAGGGGAUCGAAGACGAUCAGAUACCGUCGUAGUCUUAACCAUAAACUAUGCCGACUAGGGAUCGGAUGA
RNAcentral lists this ribosomal RNA (725 nucleotides) under uncultured fungus. RNAcentral describes it as "SSU rRNA". It matches the Rfam family "Eukaryotic small subunit ribosomal RNA", at positions 331 to 1060 of the family's 1831-position model. Lineage: Eukaryota; Fungi. The record is from RNAcentral.